AUGGGAAACUGCGUACCAAAAGUAAGGUGGAAAGUGCCUGUCCCCAUCAGGAGAAAAAGAUAUUCCCAUAAGCAAACACAGACCUGCAUCUUUCAACCAGGUACCAUCAAGGAACAGGUUGCCAAAAAAGAUUCUGUGAAUUCCAGUGAGCUGUGGUACUCGACUGUCAGCCAUGAUGUAAAACAUGAAGUCUUUGUGAUUGACAGCAAUAAUCAGACAGAAUAUGCACUUGUCAGCCUGCCCAAGAGGAAGGCAAAUGUCACCAGCCCUGAAGAGCAUAGUGAAUAUGAUGAUGUCCUAGUAACUUAGAAGGCACCCUUUUGCCUGGGUGAAUGAUGAUAACCAUCCUACCUCUGCUGUUGGGUCUUCAGACAAAUCUCUCUCUUGUUACCAAGCUUACCCAUUAGGCUACGUCCACCAGUCAUUUACUAUGAGACUAAUCUGUCCAUCAACAGCUGGUCAGAGAAAGAAACAUGGACUGGGUACAGGGCUUGACAAUUAAACCAGGGGAAUCUGUACCAGCUGGCAUCAUAACACAAUGCUUCUCUAUAGAAAAUUAGGACCUACAAUAUUUUAAGCAACUGAGGCUGUACAUUUUUCUGGACUUGUAGAAUACUUCUUUUUUUAAAGGGGCCUUAAAGAACUACUGCUAUAAAUCUCAAAAAUGCAAUAAGAACAGGAUCUUUCUGUUUGUUUGGGGAACGUUUCUUAUCUUAAAUGAAAGCAUAAACCUUGUGUUAGAUCCAUUUACUCUUGUACAAAAUUUCUCUGACAUGCUUGAUUUGUACCAUUAUACAAUGCACAAUUUUAAUAAAGAACUACUCAUUCCUUCUAUUCA
Molecule: long non-coding RNA, 838 nt
Filed under: Cyanistes caeruleus (blue tit)
Lineage: Eukaryota; Metazoa; Chordata; Aves; Passeriformes; Paridae
Description: lncRNA (ENSCCEG00000015891.1)
Source: RNAcentral